GACGAACGCUGGCGGCGUGCCUAAUACAUGCAAGUCGAGCGAAGUUUUCCUGUUUCUUGCCCUAGGAAUACUUAGCGGCGGACGGGUGAGUAACACGUACAGAACCUCCCUCAUAGACUGGUACUACUAUUGGAAACGAUAGCUAAUACCGGAUAACAGUAUUUCUCGCUUGAGCGGUGUUUAAAAGUUGGUUAUGCUAACACUAUGAGAUGGCUUUGCGGUGCAUUAGCUAGUUGGUGGGGUAAAGGCAUCCCAAGGCGACGAUGCAUAGCCCACCUGAGAGGGUGAUCGGCCACACGGGGAGUGAGACACGGCCGCGACUCCUACGGGAGGACGCAGUAGGGAAUCUUACGCGAUGGGCGAGAGCCUGACGGAGCAACGCCGCGUGAGUGCAGAAGGAUUUCGGUUCGGAAAGCUCUGUUGUUAGGGAAGAAUGAAUAUGUAGUAACCAUAGAUGUAAAAGACGGUACCUGGCCAGAAAGCCACGGCUAACUACGUG
Molecule: ribosomal RNA, 499 nt
Filed under: uncultured bacterium
Lineage: Bacteria
Description: partial 16S ribosomal RNA
Rfam family: Bacterial small subunit ribosomal RNA
Source: RNAcentral